RNAcentral lists this non-coding RNA (24 nucleotides) under Arabidopsis thaliana (thale cress). The record is from RNAcentral. Lineage: Eukaryota; Viridiplantae; Streptophyta; Magnoliopsida; Brassicales; Brassicaceae.
GCCCAAGCAUUUGUGGUCCAGUGG